UUGAGUGGUAUAAACCAUGAUUACCCGUUAGGCUCACAUUAAGAUCUUUUGGAGGAUAAUUUCCUGGGAGAUAGCUUGUACACUUCAUUUUUCUCCCCACCCUUUUGUUAAUCUAUUUUACAAUUUUUCAUAUUUUGUUAAUCUAUUUUACACUGUCAAGAUCCAGGUCAAAAUGGUAAAUGAAUUGUGAACAUUUUGGAAAUAAAGUGAAGCAAAUAUGAAAUAAAGAUUUUGAUAAACAGGCAACAUUCAAAGAUAACUACAAUUAUGCUCCGUUGGUACAAUAAAAUUAGUUCAAGAUAAUUCAGACUCAGUGAGGAAUCAUUUGCCUAAAAGUAAAUCGAGACAUUGAAAUCCAUACAUACCAAUGGAAUGAAGGAAACUUGAAAAGUGAUAGUAAUUUGGAACUUAGAUUACAUCUAUAAAAACACUGUCUCUAAAACCAAAAACACUUGUAGUGGCAACAUACCGAAAAAGGGAGAAAGAAAGUAACAAAUCUGGCUUUUUACUCCAAAAAUAUUGAAACAGAGAUCACAUUGGAAAAAAAUCGGAAAAUACCAAUACAACAAAACCCAAAAUUAGAAGAAAAUAUUUAUUAAAAGCGAAAAGGUCAACAAUCAUAGAACCAAUCGAUACAACUGACAGUCACAGGACUUGCAACCAUCAACCAUCACAGAUGCAGAUACUCAGAAGAGAGAUGAAAACCAAAACCCAACAUUCCAAUCCUCAGAUUUGCAAUAGAAACAGGAGGCACACCUAGGAGCGAGGUCGGAAGCUCGGGUACACCUGCAAUUCACCAACAAACAAAUUUGCAAUAUUUGAUUUGACAAAAUACUGAUUUUGAGAGAUGAAGAAAGGGAGGCAGACCGUUUAUUAGAGACUAGGGCAGAGUACCUUUUUUUACGAAUGAGCGAGGUACAUAGCUAGGUUACAACUGCGAUCCACAGACAAACAAGUUUGCAAUAUUCGUUUUGACAAAAUACAAAAUCGACCUGCGAUUUUGAGGGAUGAACAGAAGGGGGCAGAUCGACCUGACUGCGUUAUGUAUUAGAGACUAGGGCAGCGUAGUCGUGUAUAUUGCUUGAACAGAGAGUUUUUUGAGUUAGGAUUU
RNAcentral lists this long non-coding RNA (1111 nucleotides) under Nicotiana benthamiana. RNAcentral's name for it is "long non-coding RNA (NBEN_LNC020062)". Lineage: Eukaryota; Viridiplantae; Streptophyta; Magnoliopsida; Solanales; Solanaceae. The record is from RNAcentral.